This 481-nucleotide ribosomal RNA is filed under the name uncultured bacterium. RNAcentral's name for it is "SSU rRNA". It matches the Rfam family "Bacterial small subunit ribosomal RNA", at positions 26 to 518 of the family's 1533-position model. The record is from RNAcentral.
AGGACGAACGCUGGCGGCGUGCCUAACACAUGCAAGUGGAGCGACGAACCGGGCUUCGGCCCGGGGCAGAGCCGCGAACGGGUGAGUAACACGUGGGUAACGUGCCCCGAUGAUUGGGACAACCCGAGGAAACUCGGGCUAAUACCAAAUGUGCCCUGUGGCCAUAAGGCCUAUGGGGAAAGGAAGCUUCGGCCUCCGCAUCGGGAUCGGCCCGCGGCCCAUUAGCUAGUUGGUGAGGUAACGGCUCACCAAGGCGACGAUCGAUAGCUGGUCUGAGAGGAUGAUCAGCCACAUUGGGACUGAGACACGGCCCAAACUCCUACGGGAGGCAGCAGUGGGGAAUAUUGGACAAUGGGCGCAAGCCUGAUCCAGCCAUGCCGCGUGAGUGAUGACGGCCUUAGGGUUGUAAAGCUCUUUCGCUAGGGACGAUAAUGACGGUACCUAGACAAGAAGCCCCGGCUAACUUCGUGCCAGCAGCCGC